GAUGAAAUGGGCAGGAGGCUAAGAAACCAGAUAUUGAGAAGUGCUUAGAGGUUGUUGCCACUUUGGAAGCAAGGACGGUACUGGUGAGCUUUCAAAGCAAACAACGGUUCAAGCAACAGAAGUGGCGUCAAGCUUGGUGGAGACAAUACAAGGAGCUUGCAGGCUAGGAGGUUGCUUCAAGGCUAUGGUUUUGAUGGGUAUAUGAU
This is a long non-coding RNA of Brassica oleracea var. oleracea, 206 nucleotides long. RefSeq lists it as uncharacterized. NCBI's taxonomy places the organism in Eukaryota, Viridiplantae, Streptophyta, Magnoliopsida, Brassicales, Brassicaceae. The transcript has 2 exons. The record is from RefSeq and is a predicted model, not a curated record.